This 36-nucleotide transfer RNA is filed under the name Geckolepis maculata. RNAcentral describes it as "partial tRNA-Tyr". Lineage: Eukaryota; Metazoa; Chordata; Lepidosauria; Squamata; Gekkonidae. The record is from RNAcentral.
UUGUAGCCUCGCUUACAAGGACCCCCCCCCUUUGCU